UCCAGACUCCUACGGGAGGCAGCAGUGGGGGAUAUUGCACAAUGGGGGGAACCCUGAUGCAGCGACGCCGCGUGGGUGAAGGAGUGCUUCGGCAUGUAAAGCCCUAUCGGCAGGGAAGAAGCAAGACGGUACCUGACUAAGAAGCCCCGGCUAACUACGUGCCAGCAGCCGCGGUAAUACGUAGGGGGCGAGCGUUAUCCGGAUUCACUGGGUGUAAAGGGAGCGUAGACGGCCAUGCAAGCCAGGGGUGAAAGCCCGGGGCCCAACCCCGGGACUGCCCUUGGAACUGCAUGGCUGGAGUGCAGGAGAGGUAAGCGGAAUUCCUAGUGUAGCGGUGAAAUGCGUAGAUAUUAGGAGGAACACCAGUGGCGAAGGCGGCUUACUGGACUGUAACUGACGUUGAGGCUCGAAAGCGUGGGGAGCAAACAGGAUUAGAUACCCCUGUA
This 446-nucleotide ribosomal RNA is filed under the name uncultured bacterium. RNAcentral's name for it is "bacterial SSU rRNA". It matches the Rfam family "Bacterial small subunit ribosomal RNA", at positions 330 to 792 of the family's 1533-position model. The record is from RNAcentral.